RNAcentral lists this ribosomal RNA (713 nucleotides) under Saccharomyces sp. GY27S05. Its description in RNAcentral is "eukaryotic LSU rRNA". The stretch from base 268 to 421 matches the Rfam family "5.8S ribosomal RNA". Lineage: Eukaryota; Fungi; Ascomycota; Saccharomycetes; Saccharomycetales; Saccharomycetaceae. The record is from RNAcentral.
UGAGACUGACUUGAGGGAGAGUGAGAGAACUUUUGUUGGUGCGAGCCUGCGCUUAGUUGCGCGGCAUGUGCUGGUAUUGGUUGUUUUGCUUUCAUUUACAACUUCUUGUUUGUGUCGAACUUCUACACACAGUGGAGUUUCUACUUUACAAUUUUUCUUUGGGGGAAGCAAUUCUCCCAGAGGUAACAAACACAAACAAUUUUGUCAUGUUAAUACAAUAGUCAAAACCUGAAAUUUCGUAACUGAGAUUUUAAAAUAAAUAUUUAAAACUUUCAACAACGGAUCUCUUGGUUCUCGCAUCGAUGAAGAACGCAGCGAAAUGCGAUACGUAAUGUGAAUUGCAGAAUUCCGUGAAUCAUCGAAUCUUUGAACGCACAUUGCGCCCCUUGGUAUUCCAGGGGGCAUGCCUGUUUGAGCGUCAUUUCCUUCUCAAACAACUCUGUUUGGUUGUGAGUGAUACUCGAUUUUAUUGGGUUAACUUGAAAUUGCUAGCCUUUUUGGCUGUGUGAUUUUGCAGACUUAGGAUUAAAUCUACUUUGUCCAGUCUAGCUUGAUACCAUCAUUGUCGUAUUAGGUUUUACCAACUUCGGCAGCUUUAGUAUUGGUUAGGUGUUAUAAAGACAAGACCGUAUUUUUGACUAUAUCUUCAGAGCUGCGCAGUCUGGCGAACAGUACUCUUAAAGUUUGACCUCAAAUCAGGUAGGAAUACCCGC